This 253-nucleotide ribosomal RNA is filed under the name uncultured bacterium. Its description in RNAcentral is "partial 16S ribosomal RNA". It matches the Rfam family "Bacterial small subunit ribosomal RNA", at positions 524 to 776 of the family's 1533-position model. The record is from RNAcentral.
GACGUAGGGCGCGAGCGUUGUCCGGAUUUAUUGGGCGUAAAGAGCUCGUAGGCGGUCUGUCACGUCGGCUGUGAAAACCCGGGGCUCAACCCCGGGCCUGCAGUCGAUACGGGCAGACUAGAGUGCGGUAGGGGAGACUGGAAUUCCUGGUGUAGCGGUGAAAUGCGCAGAUAUCAGGAGGAACACCGGUGGCGAAGGCGGGUCUCUGGGCCGUAACUGACGCUGAGGAGCGAAAGCGUGGGGAGCGAACAGG